CACAACACAAACAACACAAAGUAUAGUGGUUCGGUGCUCUCCUUAGCACCUACGUCCACUCCCCAAGCGACCCCUUGGGAAUUCACUAUAAUCUCGCGGAUUACAGUUGGAUUGUUUUCCGGGCUCACAAUCCAAAAACUUUUGUUGGUUUUACGGGCUCACCAACGAACCUUUACAGUUUGGUUUUCCGGGUUCACCAAAAACUUUUGUUGGUUUUACAGGCUCACCAACGAACCUUUACAAUUGGUUUUCCGGGUUCACCAAUCAACCUACUUCGUUGGUUUUCCG
This 288-nucleotide long non-coding RNA is filed under the name Phoenix dactylifera (date palm). Its description in RNAcentral is "long non-coding RNA (PDAC_LNC022188)". Lineage: Eukaryota; Viridiplantae; Streptophyta; Magnoliopsida; Arecales; Arecaceae. The record is from RNAcentral.